This 465-nucleotide ribosomal RNA is filed under the name Vreelandella stevensii. RNAcentral describes it as "partial 16S ribosomal RNA". It matches the Rfam family "Bacterial small subunit ribosomal RNA", at positions 338 to 795 of the family's 1533-position model. Lineage: Bacteria; Pseudomonadati; Pseudomonadota; Gammaproteobacteria; Oceanospirillales; Halomonadaceae. The record is from RNAcentral.
CCUACGGGUGGCUGCAGUGGGGAAUAUUGGACAAUGGGGGGAACCCUGAUCCAGCCAUGCCGCAUGUGUGAAGAAGGCCCUCGGGUUGUAAAGCACUUUCAGUGAGGAAGAACGCCUGGUGGUUAAUACCCAUCAGGAAAGACAUCACUCACAGAAGAAGCACCGGCUAACUCCGUGCCAGCAGCCGCGGUAAUACGGAGGGUGCGAGCGUUAAUCGGAAUUACUGGGCGUAAAGCGCGCGUAGGUGGCUUGAUAAGCCGGUUGUGAAAGCCCCGGGCUCAACCUGGGAACGGCAUCCGGAACUGUCAAGCUAGAGUGCAGGAGAGGAAGGUAGAAUUCCCGGUGUAGCGGUGAAAUGCGUAGAGAUCGGGAGGAAUACCAGUGGCGAAGGCGGCCUUCUGGACUGACACUGACACUGAGGUGCGAAAGCGUGGGUAGCAAACAGGAUUAGAUACCCCGGUAGUC